GUAGUCAUAUGCUUGUCUCAAAGAUUAAGCCAUGCAUGUCUAAGUAUAAGCAAUUAUACCGUGAAACUGCGAAUGGCUCAUUAAAUCAGUUAUCGUUUAUUUGAUAGUACCUUACUACGUGGAUAACCGUGGUAAUUCUAGAGCUAAUACAUGCUAAAAAUCCCGACCCCUGGAAGGGAUGUAUUUAUUAGAUAAAAAACCAAUGGCUCCGGCCUCCUUGGUGAUUCAUGAUAACUUCACGAAUCGCGUGGCCUUGCGCCGGCGAUGGUUCAUUCAAAUUUCUGCCCUAUCAACUUUCGAUGGUAGGAUAGUGGCCUACCAUGGUUUCAACGGGUAACGGGGAAU
Molecule: ribosomal RNA, 345 nt
Filed under: Lasiobolidium spirale
Lineage: Eukaryota; Fungi; Ascomycota; Pezizomycetes; Pezizales; Pyronemataceae
Description: SSU rRNA
Rfam family: Eukaryotic small subunit ribosomal RNA
Source: RNAcentral